UAGCUCAGUGGCAGAGCUCCCGCUUCAUAUGCGGGAAGACCUGGGUUCGAUUCCCGG
This is a non-coding RNA of Toxocara canis (dog roundworm), 57 nucleotides long. The record is from Rfam. Lineage: Eukaryota; Metazoa; Nematoda; Chromadorea; Rhabditida; Toxocaridae.